Molecule: unclassified non-coding RNA, 247 nt
Filed under: fungal sp.
Lineage: Eukaryota; Fungi
Description: partial internal transcribed spacer region
Rfam family: Eukaryotic small subunit ribosomal RNA (bases 1-46)
Source: RNAcentral
AAGUCGUAACAAGGUUUCCGUAGGUGAACCUGCGGAAGGAUCAUUAGUGAAUGAAAGGGUGAUGCCUUCUGGGCUCCCCGAAUAUCUUCACCACCUCACACUAUCUGUGCACUGUCUGGGGGAGGGAGAGAUGGAGCCUGGCUCCUAUCCACUCUGCCGCCCCCUUAUCAUCAUAAAACCCUUGAAUGUAUGUCGAAUGUAACAAAUAAAUCAAAUACAACUUUCAACAACGGAUCUCUUGGCUCUC